This 429-nucleotide ribosomal RNA is filed under the name Bacteroidota bacterium. RNAcentral's name for it is "Bacteroidetes bacterium partial 16S ribosomal RNA". It matches the Rfam family "Bacterial small subunit ribosomal RNA", at positions 355 to 776 of the family's 1533-position model. Lineage: Bacteria; Pseudomonadati; Bacteroidota. The record is from RNAcentral.
UAGGGAAUCUUCGGCAAUGGGGGGAACCCUGACCGAGCAACGCCGCGUGAGUGAAGAAGGUUUUCGGAUCGUAAAGCUCUGUUGUUAAGGAAGAACGAGUGUGAGAAUGGAAAGUUCAUGCUGUGACGGUACUUAACCAGAAAGGGACGGCUAACUAUGUGCCAGCAGCCGCGGUAAUACGUAGGUCCCGAGCGUUGUCCGGAUUUAUUGGGCGUAAAGCGAGCGCAGGCGGUUAGAAAAGUCUGAAGUGAAAGGCAGUGGCUCAACCAUUGUAGGCUUUGGAAACUGUUUAACUUGAGUGCAGAAGGGGAGAGUGGAAUUCCAUGUGUAGCGGUGAAAUGCGUAGAUAUAUGGAGGAACACCGGUGGCGAAAGCGGCUCUCUGGUCUGUAACUGACGCUGAGGCUCGAAAGCGUGGGGAGCGAACAGG